UAAACAUUCUGCCUAAUACACAGUCGAAUAAUCUGAUCUUCCCUUGAAUCCUCAAUUCAAAAUCAGGCGAAAUCGGAUGAAUCUGUAGGUAAAAUCCGUCGAUUUUCGAAUCAAAUUGAACAAAAUUUUCAAUCAGAAAUAUGUAUAUAAGCGAUUACGUUUGAUAGCGAUCUGUUGAACCGAAAAAAAACGAGAGCGAUGAACAAGAAUGGUCGUAAUUAGUUGGAUUUUGG
This 233-nucleotide unclassified non-coding RNA is filed under the name Hevea brasiliensis (rubber tree). The record is from RNAcentral. Lineage: Eukaryota; Viridiplantae; Streptophyta; Magnoliopsida; Malpighiales; Euphorbiaceae.